This 254-nucleotide ribosomal RNA is filed under the name uncultured bacterium. RNAcentral describes it as "partial 16S ribosomal RNA". It matches the Rfam family "Bacterial small subunit ribosomal RNA", at positions 524 to 776 of the family's 1533-position model. The record is from RNAcentral.
UACGUAGGGUGCAAGCGUUAAUCGGAAUUACUGGGCGUAAAGGGCGCGUAGGCGGUCAGCACAAGUCAGUUGUGAAAUCUCCGGGCUUAACUCGGAAAGGUCAACUGAUACUGUGCGACUAGAGUGCAGAAGGGGCAACUGGAAUUCUCGGUGUAGCGGUGAAAUGCGUAGAUAUCGAGAGGAACACCUGCGGCGAAGGCGGGUUGCUGGGCUGACACUGACGCUGAUGCGCGAAAGCCAGGGGAGCGAACGGG